UACAGAGGUCUCAAGCGUUGUUCGGAUUCAUUGGGCGUAAAGCGCACGUAGGCGGCUAUUCAAGUCGGGGGUGAAAGCCCGGGGCUCAACCCCGGAACUGCCCUCGAAACUAGGUAGCUAGAAUCUUGGAGAGGUCAGUGGAAUUCCGAGUGUAGAGGUGAAAUUCGUAGAUAUUCGGAAGAACACCAGUGGCGAAGGCGACUGACUGGACAAGUAUUGACGCUGAGGUGCGAAAGCGUGGGGAGCAAACAGG
Molecule: ribosomal RNA, 253 nt
Filed under: uncultured bacterium
Lineage: Bacteria
Description: partial 16S ribosomal RNA
Rfam family: Bacterial small subunit ribosomal RNA
Source: RNAcentral